This 497-nucleotide ribosomal RNA is filed under the name uncultured bacterium. Its description in RNAcentral is "partial 16S ribosomal RNA". It matches the Rfam family "Bacterial small subunit ribosomal RNA", at positions 28 to 507 of the family's 1533-position model. The record is from RNAcentral.
GAUGAACGCUGGCGGCGUGCCUAUACAUGCAAGUAGAAAGCUGAAGGAAGGAGCUUGCUCUUUUCGGAAGAGUUGCGAACGGGUGAGUUACGCGUAGGUAACCUGCCUGGUAGGGGGGGGUAACUAUUGGAAACGGUAGCUAAUACCGCAUAAAAGUAGAUUUUUGCUGAUUUUCUAUUAAAAAGUGCAAUUUCACCAACAACAGAAUGACCUGGCGUUGUAUUAGCUAGUUGGUGAGGUAACGGCUCACCAAGGCGACGAUACAUAGCCGACCUGAGAGGGUGAUCGGCCACACUGGGACUGAGACACGGCCCAGACUCCUACGGGAGGCAGCAGUAGGGAAUCUUCGGCAAUGGACGGAAGUCUGACCGAGCAACGCCGCGUGAGUGAAGAAGGUUUUCGGAUCGUAAAGCUCUGUUGUAAGAGAAGAACGAGUGUGAGAGUGGAAAGUUCACACUGUGACGGUAUCUUACCAGAAAGGGACGGCUAACUACGUG